Molecule: unclassified non-coding RNA, 435 nt
Filed under: uncultured fungus
Lineage: Eukaryota; Fungi
Description: partial internal transcribed spacer 1
Source: RNAcentral
AUAUGAAUGCCUCCAGCUACGAAAUCACCCGUACGCGCGAUGCUAUCAACAAUGUCGAAACGUACUUUGAGCAGCGUCCUGACCUGCUGAAGGCCGUCACCGGCGUUGACCAACUGAUUCCGUCUCCGGAACCGGGCGCGACUGAACCGACUGAAUUCCACUGCCAUCCGGCUAACACCAUUAACGCGCUUAACCGUGCGAAAGGGAUGCUGGCAAACGUGGAAAGCUACGACAAGUUAAGCGUUGAACAGCGUAGUCAGUUGCGUCGCAUUAUGCUGUGCAUUUCCGACACGACCGACAAAGUCGUGAAAUUGCCUGGCGUAAGCAGCGAUGACCAGCGCCUGCUGAAAAAGCUGAAGACCGAUAUGUUAAGCACCAUUGAGUAUGCGCCAGUGUGGAUCAUUAUGGCAGUGGCGUUGGCGCUGGGUAUUGGUA